AGUGAACGCUGGCGGUAGGCCUAACACAUGCAAGUCGAACGGCAGCACAGUAAGAGCUUGCUCUUACGGGUGGCGAGUGGCGGACGGGUGAGGAAUACAUCGGAAUCUACUUUUUCGUGGGGGCUAACGUAGGGACACUUACGCUAAUACCGCAUACGACCUACGGGUGAAAGCAGGGGAUCUUCGGACCUUGCGCGAUUGAAUGAGCCGAUGUCGGAUUAGCUAGUUGGCGGGGUAAAGGCCCACCAAGGCGACGAUCCGUAGCUGGUCUGAGAGGAUGAUCAGCCACACUGGAACUGAGACACGGUCAAGACUCCUACGGGAGGCAGCAGUGGGGAAUAUUGGACAAUGGGCGCAAGCCUGAUCCAGCCAUACCGCGUGGGUGAAGAAGGCCUUCGGGUUGUAAAGCCCUUUUGUUGGGAAAGAAAAGCAGCAGGUUAAUACCCCGCUGUUCUGACGGUACCCAAAGAAUAAGCACCGGCUAACUUCGUG
RNAcentral lists this ribosomal RNA (492 nucleotides) under uncultured bacterium. RNAcentral's name for it is "partial 16S ribosomal RNA". It matches the Rfam family "Bacterial small subunit ribosomal RNA", at positions 29 to 507 of the family's 1533-position model. The record is from RNAcentral.